UCUUCCCCAAACUCAGCCAUCUCAUGUUUCUGUGAUAGGAGAGAUCUGCAUGACACAACUCUGUCUCUUCCAACAGUGAAACAAACUGCCUGUGGUUUAAAGAUUCUGCUCUUGUGAAGUUGACCACUUUAGUGACUGUAUUCACAACAUGGCUCAUUUUCAGAACACAUUUACAGAGCACGUCCUGAUGAGUAAUGCAAUGCCCAGGGUUGACGAUUGUGUGGACCGUGUUGGCGCUGCUAAGGUUACGAAAUGCUGGGACCCUUUUGGUCUCUGUACCGGUGCUCGCUGCUCCGGAUUUCCAUCGUCCAUUUGCUUUGUACACCGAUGUCAGCGACGUGAGAGCAGGAGCGUUGCUCCUACAGAAAGACGAUAACAUCGUUGAGCACCCUGUGUGGUACUUUUCAAAGGAAUUUGACACAUAUCAGAAACACAAGACCAGGCCUGGGCAAAGGACGGGCCGUGAUCUGAUUCAAUAUGGCCCACAGAAUCAUGCUCCGAUCACAUGAAGAAUUUGUGAUAGUAAAGUUUUGAAAAGCGAGUUUGACUUGCACGUUGGGCGAGUGCUCCAGAUGAAGACUGUAGUCAACGGUGACAACAGUGGCCACAGGCAGGUGGCUGGUUUCAACAUGUUGAUAUGACACAGACAGGUUUGUUUUCCUAUGCUCAGGUGUGGCAAUAAAUUAAUCCAGAUUACACCUUUUUUUCACUAUGGUGUUAAGGGCCUGAAAAGCGAGCUUGCCACAGAACAGACAACAAAACCAGGAUUUGGUCAUCCAUAUCGAAAAUGGCACAGUGCAAUUUGUAUCAAAGCGCUAACGUGUUCCAACAGAUUUGUUUUUGGGGGUAUUGUCCUGCAACAACCUCUCUCUCAGAAAGCUCAACAGACCACUGACAUGAUGUACAAUCACAAGCUCAUUUGGACUGAAAUCAAGAGAUUCCUGAACAAACGUCUGUGCUGCAAAGUGCACCAGUCUUUCAUCCCAGUCUUUCAAUCUGAGGAGCAGUUAACUCAAAUGUGUUGGUUACUACAUGAUUACACGUGUUAUUUCGUAGUUUUGAUGUCUUCACUAUAAUUGUACAAUGUAGAAAAUAGUUUUUUUUUAAAAAAGGCUUGACUGAGUAGGUGUGUCCAAACUUUUGACUGGUACUGUGUCUCAGAAAAAAGAGGGGAGAGGGAAACAUAUUUGCCGAACAGCGUAACCAGCUCCUUCCUUGACAUUGAGGUGUCAACUGUAGGCACCCCUUCUUCCUUCAGUGGUCCUGGAAACUAGUUCACCUUAGGUUUUUAGAAAAAGGAUAGGUCAACUCAGGAGGUUUACCGAAAUCAGGAUCACACAAACGUCUCAGACAGAUCAAACAUGGUGGGAUUCCUCAACACUACACUUGCUCCCAGCAACUUUCUUAGACAGCGGGUGCACAUGCUGGGAACACUCUAAUGGUAGGGUUGUGCUUACAUGGCCAUACUCGUAUUCGUAUCUAUAAAUUCACAGUUGAUAAUUGGAUCAGAUUAUACUUGUGAUUGGAAACAACAGAAGUUGUUUUAAUAUGCCUAAAUAAAUGUUGGCAAAAUACAUCCCUGCACGUUUUCAAUGCAAAAAGAGUUGCAGGAUGUGUGUGUGUCUGUGUGUCCUUCAACUUGAAGCGGGCAGCCAAGUUUGCUGUCUCUCAGUCAGGAUGCGCAUCAGCAUUUCAUCCUUUUUCCCUACCCUUGCCACGCCUGUUAGAUAUUAUGCACAUUGAUAGCGUCAUAGCAAAUAUCCUCGCCAUGGUAUGGCAAACGAGCCGGUCGAGUUAUUUCGACCACGUGGAACCUCACACAUGACUGACUCAACGACAAUACAGUAUGGUUAGAAACUCGGACUGACUGACAUGAGAAAGAUGCUUGCUGGCACCAGAAAAUAACACGGAUCAUUACAAAAAAAUACUUGGAUUAUAAUCGUAUCCAGAAAUGUGCCUAUAUCCUUUAUGAUAGUUGUUUUGUCCGACUACUCGGCACACCCCUACUCUAGGGUACUGAUAGGUUUCAAUUCAACACGCUGUGAGACAAUGUAUCCUUUCUCACUGUGGUAAUGACAACCUGGGGGAUACGAAAAACUUUCCUGACGAUCUUUGUCUUUGGGAUAACUACUGGGUGCUUUGUUUGUGAAGGUAGGUUUAUGUGUCAACACAGACUCAUCUGCAAGGACCAGCUUCCUCAAGAGUGAGAUUCUUGUGGUGUAUAAUGAGGUAGCAACCCUUUUGUGAAGGCAAUACUUGAACUGCUCGAGUGGUAUGAGUCUGUAACCCUUUCCUGCAGGUAAUGAACAAAAGCACCCUCUUUGGCCUCAUGGGUGGAAUGUUCGUAUUUUUCAUAAUUCAUACACAUUUUUAGUUUUUUUAAACAAUGAAAAUCUGGUGUUUCUAUGUCAAACUGUUUUGUUAUAUUUCAGUCGUCUGUGAUGACUGAAAUAUUGAAUACAUUAACUAUCUGACACGGUACAGGUGUCACUGUUUUCAGCCUAUAACCAUUGGUCACGUGUGCUUCCUCUCGGCCUCUAGGUCAACAGGCUGCUCGUUAGGGAGAACACCUGUCACCAGUGUUACGCACAUAAUGACACUCACCUGGACUCCAUGACCUACUUGAUUACCUACCCUUUACAUGUCACUCCCUUUGGUUUCUUCCCCAGUCGUCAUUGUUCCUGUUUCAUGUCGGUGUGCUGUUUGUGUUUCUUGUUGUGUUUAUUUAUUAAUUAAAUGUAUUCACUCCCUGAACUUGC
Molecule: long non-coding RNA, 2759 nt
Organism: Oncorhynchus keta (chum salmon)
Lineage: Eukaryota; Metazoa; Chordata; Actinopteri; Salmoniformes; Salmonidae
Exons: 2
Source: RefSeq, a predicted model, not a curated record